Molecule: ribosomal RNA, 253 nt
Filed under: uncultured bacterium
Lineage: Bacteria
Description: partial 16S ribosomal RNA
Rfam family: Bacterial small subunit ribosomal RNA
Source: RNAcentral
UACGUAGGGGGCAAGCGUUGUCCGGAAUCAUUGGGCGUAAAGCGCGUGUAGGCGGCUCGAUAAGUCUGCUGUGAAAGUCCAAGGCUCAACCUUGGGAUGCCGGUGGAUACUGUCGAGCUCGAGUCCGGAAGAGGAGUGUGGAAUUCCUGGUGUAGCGGUGAAAUGCGCAGAUAUCAGGAAGAACACCCGUGGCUAAGGCGGCUCUCUAGUACGGUACUGACGCUGAGACGCGAAAGCGUGGGGAGCGAACAGG